Molecule: ribosomal RNA, 490 nt
Filed under: uncultured bacterium
Lineage: Bacteria
Description: partial 16S ribosomal RNA
Rfam family: Bacterial small subunit ribosomal RNA
Source: RNAcentral
AUUGAACGCUGGCGGCAGGCCUAACACAUGCAAGUCGAACGGUAACAGGAAGAAGCUUGCUUCUUUGCUGACGAGUGGCGGACAGGUGAGUAAUGUCUGGGAAACUGCCUGAUGGAGGGGGAUAACUACUGGAAACGGUAGCUAAUACCGCAUAACGUCGCAAGACCAAAAAGGGGGACCUUCGGGCCUCUUGCCAUCGGAUGUGCCCAGAUUGGAUUAGCUAGUAGGUGGGGUAACGGCUCACCUAGGCGACGAUCCCUAGCUGGUCUGAGAGGAUGACCAGCCACACUGGAACUGAGACACGGUCCAGACUCCUACGGGAGGCAGCAGUGGGGAAUAUUGCACAAUGGGCGCAAGCCUGAUGCAGCCAUGCCGCGUGUAUGAAGAAGGCCUUCGGGUUGUAAAGUACUUUCAGCGGGGAGGAAGGGAGUAAAGUUAAUACCUUUGCUCAUUGACGUUACCCGCAGAAGAAGCACCGGCUAACUCCGUG